RNAcentral lists this ribosomal RNA (253 nucleotides) under uncultured bacterium. RNAcentral describes it as "partial 16S ribosomal RNA". It matches the Rfam family "Bacterial small subunit ribosomal RNA", at positions 524 to 776 of the family's 1533-position model. The record is from RNAcentral.
UACGUAGGUGGCAAGCGUUGUCCGGAAUUAUUGGGCGUAAAGAGCUCGUAGGUGGUUUGUCGCGUUGUUCGUGAAAACUCACAGCUUAACUGUGGGCGUGCGGGCGAUACGGGCAGACUAGAGUACUGCAGGGGAGACUGGAAUUCCUGGUGUAGCGGUGGAAUGCGCAGAUAUCAGGAGGAACACCGGUGGCGAAGGCGGGUCUCUGGGCAGUAACUGACGCUGAGGAGCGAAAGCGUGGGGAGCGAACAGG